CUUGGUCAUUUAGAGGAAGUAAAAGUCGUAACAAGGUCUCCGUUGGUGAACCAGCGGAGGGAUCAUUACCGAGUUUACAACUCCCAAACCCAUGUGAACAUUACCUCUAUGUUGCUUCGGCGGAGCCGCCCCGGCGCCCGGAACCCCCUGCGGUCCCGCGGCCCGGAACCAAGGCGCCCGCCGGAGGCCACAAACUCUUCUGUUUUUACAGUUUCUUCUGAGUGUGCCGCAAGGCAGUAUACAAAUGAAUCAAAACUUUCAACAACGGAUCUCUUGGUUCUGGCAUCGAUGAAGAACGCAGCGAAAUGCGAUAAGUAAUGUGAAUUGCAGAAUUCAGUGAAUCAUCGAAUCUUUGAACGCACAUCGCGCCCGCCAGAAUUCUGGCGGGCAUGCCUGUUCGAGCGUCAUUUCAACCCUCGAGCUCCCCUUUCGGGGGGAGCCCGGCGUUGGGGACCCGGCGCUAACAACGCCGGCCCCGAAAUGGAGUGGCGGCCCGUCCGCGGCGACCUCUGCGUAGUAACAACCACUCGCACCGGGACCCGGGCGCGGCCACGCCGUAAAACACCCCACCUUCCGAAUGUUGACCUCGAAUCAGGUAGGAAUACCCGCUGAACUUAAGCAUAUCAAUAAGCGGAGGA
RNAcentral lists this ribosomal RNA (638 nucleotides) under uncultured fungus. RNAcentral describes it as "eukaryotic LSU rRNA". The stretch from base 254 to 407 matches the Rfam family "5.8S ribosomal RNA". Lineage: Eukaryota; Fungi. The record is from RNAcentral.